CGUGGAUCACAAUCGCAACAUUCUCUUCUUGCGUCAAAGGAAUGACUGCCAGAUACUCACUCCAGAGGUCUGUAUCGUAUUUUUCUGUUUUAUGUUUCUGGUCCGUUGAUUUGUUAUGAACAGAUGCAUUUAGAAAUAAGCAUGUAGUUAAGUUGGCAGCUAAACUGCUAGCUUAGCAAAACUGUUGCACUCACUCAAAAGGUUGUACUUAAUUUUCUCCUGAAAAACUUCCGUGCAGUUUCUCUUUUUUCUUGCAUCUCUGUUUUGUUAACUAUGAUUAUAAUUGACAAAUGCAGAAUCCUUUUUUGCAAUUGACUGGCCCGUCUCGUGCAAUUGCGGCUAUAGAUCCUGUUGACUUUGACAUUAAACUCAAAGUAAAGGGCAGGAUGAAGUCAAAAGAUAGAGUGCUCAUGCAUCAGACCUCCAAGUACAGCUGUAAUGAGGCCAUUCUGUUGGAUGACUCCUGCAGAAUUGUGUUACGGUGUGCGAAACUGGAGAAGACAGUGCAAGCAACUAUAGUCGGUGUCCGUGUUAUUAAUUGGAGAAAGAAGAAAUGGCCUUUUAGACAUGGUGGUCUAGUCAUUGCCAAGGCACAUUCUAAGCCCGUUAAACCUCAGAAUGAGGUCCUGCUACAAGAUCAAGUGAUGGAUAACAUUUCAGAUGGUUACUUUCAAGGUGAAGUUAGUUGUGUUGGCGACAGAUCUUCGGCGCUGAAACAUGAAGAUGAGGUUGUGCUUCAAGGUCAAGUGACAGCUAACAACUGGGAUGGUUGUCUUGAUCUGUCAAGGCACGUUGUUUCCGUAGAGUUAGAUGGAAAGCUCGAAGUCAUCAUCCGUGCCCUGUCUUCAAAUGGUUUUGUUACUAAACAUGGCCAUGUCUUCUUUCCAGCCCAGGAAAGCAAAAUAAGUCGGGGCAUAUGUGAUCUUGCCUCCUAUAAGGUGGAAGUCGCUGUUGCUUGGUCCCUUCUUGUUCGAGACAAGCAGUUUAUCUCGAGGGAGGGAUGUAUGGAUGAUGACUAGGCGUGAACAUUAUAUAAAUUAAAUACAGUUAGCCAUUUAAAGCUGUCAGCUCUAUCCAUUGUCUUAAUGGCUUUAUAUCUAAUGCUAUGUUAAACUAUUAGUGUAUUGGCUGUCAGUGAUUUUACUUAAAUUGUCUACUACACCCUUCGUUUUUAAAUAUAAGAGUUUUGGCAUUCUAAUUUAUACUGCCUAAAUGUCUUACAUUUAUGAACGGAGGUAAUGUUUUGUAUUGACUGCAAAAUGUAGGUUUGACUCUUUUUUUUAGCCACUCUGUUUUUACUCCUGAAUACUACAUGGGUGGUAAGCUGGAGAUUGGUUAGUAUUAUACCCAUCUGAUCUGUGAAAUAUUUGUUUGGCGUGAGAUUGAUUAGUUUAUACCCGUAAUGCCUAAUUGACAUCCGUGGCUACGAAUCAGUCUGGUCGUGAUUUAAAGUCAGCUCCUAUGUGAUAGUAGUCUGUUUGAGGUUUUGUUGUGUCGAAGCAAGAACAGUUCUCAUCCCAAGUCACUCCCAUCUACCUUACGAAGCAUUUUUGGAUUACACGGCACUAGCCAGUGAGGACCUCUGCAGAAUGGUGUUGCUGCCUCCCAGCAUACCAUCAACGAGAUCAAUUGCCGAUAUCAAACAGACAAUGACAAGUCAGUCUCCGUCCCUAGUGGAUGCUUCAACCCUGUGAGGCUUUGCUUUCCCCGAGGCCACUUGAAGAGAAAAUUACAUGUAUCGUCCUUGAACUCGCUGGUGCAUGGUCCUUAUACUUGCAAAUACGUAAAAUAAUGCAGUCCUGCGUAAGCUAGGGAUGUGUUUGGUAGACUGCAUGAGCCCAACCAGGACCACACGGUGCAAAAAUAUCCUGUUUGGUUGUCUGGUCUGCAUCAGUCUUUUUUGCCCGCAUGAUGUUUAAAGCACUCCCGGGCGAGUGAAGUCUGAAAUAAACCCUGUCGUUGUAGAGCUUGACGCAAAUAAACCCUCACCUCUAAAUCCCUGAAGUUGGUACCCUAUACUCUUUAAUCCCGGUCUAAAUAAACCUUAUGGCGGUUUUAUGAGUGGAUUUGAUGAUGUGGCAACUAAAGGCCAGGAUUGCUGACUUUGACCAUAACAAUUUUCUUUGCCGAGUUGUAUUGCUGCCAGAUCGCUGCGUUUGUCAAUGGGCUCGAGCCACAGACCAUCUCCUCCUGCCAUGGUGCGAAGCCGGCGCCUGAGCCCAUCUGGUCGCUGCACGUGUCUGGCACGAACAGCUCCUGCGUUGCCUGCGAGAAGCCGGCGAAGGUCAGCGAGGAGGAGCGGACGGUGUCUUGCUCGUUGUCCACUUUCUGCUUCUCGAGCACCGUGCAGAGCACCGAGUCCUCCUGCAUAAUUGAAGUGCCGUGCCAUGCAUCCAGAUUAGGAACACCGAUCGAUGCAAUUGCAAAGAGGAGCUAACCUGGCCGUGAGCUUCGCCUGUCUACGCGCACCCAAAGCAUGAUUAGCAGUGUGAGUCAGUGAAAAUACAUACAGUAUAUACCGCGUACACAUGCAUGCAUAAGCUAGCCUUCAGAUCAGGCCUCAUAACGUAAGUAGCCUUCAGCACAUCACACACAAAAUACGUUAAUUGUGUCGGUUCGUACAAUUUCCAGCACACAACCCAUCCAUCCCAGCCAUUUCCACUGCCACCAUCUAGUUCCCCGUUUGGAUAGGCAUAUAAGGUUGAAAAUGGCCGGGAUUGAAAAGAACAGGGUAUAAACUUCAGUGAUUUAGAGGUGAGGGUUCAUUUGCGUCGAGCUCUACAACUACGAGGUUUAUUUUAGACUUCACUCCUCCCGGGCCAGGCUGAGUGGAAACGACCAUUUUUCGGACCCAGGUUUGGAGAGUCACGUGUGACUUGCCUGCACGCUUGAGGAAGCGCGGGAGACGAUGGACAUCUCAAACACGUCAUUGCCCAAACCCCAUUUGGUUCUCUCUCUCACCGCCCCCUCGUCUCCGAUGGCCGCUCCACCACCGUGCCACCCCAAUCCCAUUCGCGCUGACCCUGAGAACCACAAUCACUAGCUCGACAGCCUGACGGCAGACGACAUCAACCACGGUCAGUUGUUGGCGGCUCAAGUCACCAUCCCCUCUCUGCAAGAGGCCACGGUCCGCGGCCAUCGACCCUCUACGAAACUUCGCUCUUGUGUCCGCAGCGGCUGCCGAUGUUCUUCAUUUGCAGUGGUGGUGACGUGGAUGGGUGUUGUGGGUGCUGACACCUCGGAUGUGGUGGGGGCGGUGAUUUUCACUCAUGUCCGAGGGUUUUCUAACAUCACCCCGGCUGGUACGUCAAUUGUGGCGGCCUAGACCUCUAAUGUGAUGGUGGUGACGAGGGCCGCGUCAAUGGUAGGAUCACUGGAUUCGGUUGCAAGCACAUCCACCUUUGCCGGUCCUUUGUUACUGCCAGGGUUUGGUGCAGCCUGCUACACCUUCCCCUCCGGCGCGGUUUGCUUCACCUCCACCCAUGGUGGCACCCUAGACGAACGUAGUACGUAAAUCUUCGUGUCUACCAGUUCAAAUUUUGGGGUGGUUAGGGUUUUGUUCGGGCAGUUGCUUUGAUUUGAAACGACUCGAUUCGCGUCGAAUCGAUUUGAACCAUGAUAUGCUCUUAUAAUUUUCUCAUGAUAUGUGCUUAUAAUGUGCCCGCGACAAUGCUAUGAUUACAUGUUCUUGCGGUGUAUGAUAAGUACGGCUGUUGACCUAGAAAUGUGUUCAUGCUACAUAUGAUUAUAAGGAAUCCUAUGGUUAGAGUAGGAAUGGUAUGCCUGCUAUGUUUGUAUGACCACUGAUCAAGGCAAUGGCAUGGCCAUGAUCAAUGCACAAAUCAUGUCACUGGGCAUUGCUCUGGUUAGUGCUUAGUUGUGCAGUGCAACGGUGUUACUCACUCUUGUCUUCUGAACUGACAAGGUGAGAAAGAACGAGUGAGAUCAAAUCGAUGGUGGGGUCAAAGUCAUGGAAGGCGCGGAGGACUCCAAAGAAUUAGUUGUGCUAGCAACGAUCAUCUUGUCGGGGAGGAGGGGGCAACGAAGCCUCUGCAUAAGACUGCCGGCCCAUCGAGGAUUAGGCAUGAGCUGGCAGAAUUGGUGCCACACAGGUUCUACAUGCAGAUAUGGGACACUAAAGAUUUAGCCAUGCUCAUCAUCCCUAGGGCUUUCCAGCCGGUGAUGCCAAGGUGGAUAUACAUCUACCUUCUACAAGUUGUCAAGCUCUCUAUCAGCAAGCGGCGCCAGUACUUCGUGCAGAUCUAGGAACUCAAUGGCGAGCUCGUGCUGGUGCAGGAUGACAGUUGAUUCCAACAGAUCUCGGGUAGGGGCCCCUGAGUUAGUAGCCUAGAUGCAAUGGUAACAAGGACACGAGGUUUACCUAGGUUCAGGCUCUUCGAAGAGAUAAAACCCUAUGCCUUGCUUAUGUUGUAUUGAUUUGAAUGGAGUACAAAGUACAGAUUGGUAUACCACGAGAUUGUUGUGUCGUCUAUCAACCCUACCCAUUAGUUUAUAUAGAUCCGGAGGGGGGGGGGUCUAGGGUUACAAUUAGGUCGGCUAUUGUCGGUGUCUCACUACUACAGGAUACUGCUAACGCGACACUACGAUCAGAGACCCUUUGCCGAAACUGUGUGCGAUGCAAUAAUCGCAAACAGCGGUGUAAAAAACCCGUCAAAAAAGGUGCAGAACUUUUGCGAUGACGGAGCCAUCAAACACGGUUCAUAUUUUAGUUGCGUGUGUGAUGCAGGGCACAUGGUUAAUCGAUUUCAAAGUUUGUAAUGAGGCAGAACAAUAGAAACGGGCAGCCAUAUCAAUGUGUGUGCGAUGCAGGACACACAGUUAAUCCAUUCGAAUUCUUUGCGAUGAGGUAGAACAACAGAAACGGACAGCCAUAUCAAUGUGUGUGAUAUACGGCAUACGGUUCACUGGGACGAACUGUUCUCGAUUAGGGAACACAACAUAAAUGAUUCAACUUAACAAGAUGUGUGUGAUAUGCGGCAUACAAUUCACAUGGAUGAACUGUUUGCAAUAAGCCAAAAGAACACAAACGCAUCGUGUAAACAAGAUGUGUGUGAUACGUGGCAAACAGCCGACUCAGAUGAACUGUUUGCGAUGAAAAAUUACAACACAAACAGUCAAUGCAGUUACUUCGUGUGCGAUUCUUUGUGUAUAAAAAACUUUAAAAAAUGCAAACUAGUUGCUUGCGGUGGCUAGGAGUAUCGCACACGAUGCGUCUGCGAGUACUCGUGUGCGAUGAUUAGUAUGGUACACAUACGUUUCCUUAUGUUAACAUGUGUGUGAAUUUGCAAUAUGGAUAGUUAAUAUCCAAAUGCCUUCUGGACAUCGGGCACACACUUAAACUCAAUGAAUUGUGUACGAUACUAAUACUUUCCAUGAAAAUUUAUGAACUUGAGUAACAACAUUUGAGUAACACAUAUAUAGUGGUUACACUAUUCGACAAAAGGAGGAUCUUCGUAACACGGUUUUGACAACCAUAUGGUCCAUAUCUACAUACUUAACAUAGUAACAACUAUCACAUUUUAAGAGGCUAAGGGCCAACAACCAUAUGGUCCAUAUCUACAUACUUAACAUAUAUAGUAACAACUAUCACAUUUUAAGAGGCUUAGGGCCAACAACCACAACUAUCCACUAGAAGCAGCUUGAUCAUGGCGACUCGGCAUCUCGUCAAUGAAAAGUAAGAUCCCUCAUGUGCCUUGGUAGAGCAUGAGUAGAACAUUGUCUCCAAUUUUCCAAUAUGGAUGCAUUGCCACGAGAAGCGAGAACUUGUUAAUUUGAAUGGUUCAAUUUCUGCGGGAAAUGCAGUACCUUACAAUCACUUUGGCAUUAUUAGCAGGCACACGUGUAAUUCAACCACGCCGGGAAAUCGAUCCAGGAAUUGCUACAGGGGCAAUUUGUAUUGACAUGUAGAAUAAAAACCAAUUGUAACAUAUCAUUGAAGAUAUAUAUAGUUUAUGAGCAUCAACAUUAAAAUAAGACUUUUUACCAGCGUUUUGUGCACACAAUUGGUCUUGUUCAGUGUGUACACCAUAGGUCUAAUUAAUUCCAUCCAAAAUCCAGCAUUCACACGCUGUGCUAUCUCUGUCAUAUUAUCAACAAAGUUUAUGACAUGCUUCAAGUCCUUCCAGUGAAAUUUGGUAUGCUUAGUAACAUACAGAUCGUUCACUAUGCAUCCAACAUAUCCUGCUUGAAAGGUGGAAAUGUAUUAUUUAUUCAGAACAUGGCAAAAGAAUAUAUAGUGCGCAUAAAUUGGUAAACAUAAUUUGUUACUGCCUAGGAACGGAGUCAGAAUAUGAUAUCACAAUUGGUUGCUUAAGUGAUCAAUUAGUCAAAACAAAUACCUCGAUUUUGCUAAGUAAUAUGACAACAUGGAGAAAGUUGAAAGGACACUAACCUCGAUCAGACUUUGAUCGGCUGAUGACAUUGGGAAAGUAAACAUCCAUGUUUAUUAGACCAGGUUGUGGUGCAUGCACUAGAAUUUUAUCACCAGCUUUCAGUUCAUAACACUUAGACAUUUUUCUCCAAAGGUCCACAUUAAAAUAGAAGUGACCAUCUUUAUCAAGUUUUAUGCUAACCGUCAUUGUAAAUCCAUGCUGCGUUGUCAAUAUGACAUCAUGCGAGUCAUCAACAAAGUAAAGCCCAAGAUUUCCUUCUACUCAUGUUCUUGCAAAGCAAGGGAUGUACUGCUUGAAAUGAAAAUUAAGAUCGUAAAUCAGAUAUAUUGAAAUAACAGAGUAAGAUGCAAAUAUGGGAGUAACUAGUAGAACAGAUCAAUAUAUAGAUGAAAGUAAAGUACAAAAAUAUAGAAUUGAAAAUAGAUAAUGUAACAAAUAUUUGAUGCAAAUAUAUAGAUAAUGUAGCAACAGACGGUAUAUAUUCACAAAUUUAGGCCAUGCCGACCGUGGUAGGUCGAGAUUGAACAUACCGAUCGCUCCCUGAAGUCAUCCGGAAUGGUGAGAUAGAAUUUCGUUUCCGACUGGCCACGACCAUAGUUGCCCGAUUUGUGCUCGCACUGUGGACACAUGAAUGAACACCCACGAAUCAGCUAGAACAAAAAUGAUUCCACGACGAUUUCCGCCGGUUGAUUAACAACGACGGACGGACUGCGAUAAGAGAUGAGUGAAAUAUUUCUCUAAGUUGAUUACCUUCUCCAUGAGAAAAAUCCCCGGCCCAAUCCCGCAGAAAACCCUAGUUGACCAGAGUCUAGAAUGUCGGUGCAGAUAGGCGGCGGGACGCGGUAGGGGCGAAAUCCCGUUAAGUUUGGAGGGCGACCUACGCCCGCCGCCAACAGUCGUCGAGCUUAGGGUGCAGAGUUGCGGAGGAGUCCGCGGCGAGUGAGUGGGGACGAAGUGGGUGAGGGUUUUCUUUUUCCCUUUUGCAUGUGUGAGUGAACACACACAGUUCGCAGAGGCGGCGGAGACGAAUCAUGUGCGAUAGUAAAUCACCGAGAUUGAAUGAGAAUCCAAAUUUCCUUUGUCCUUCAUCCAUGAGUUUUUUUUCUACGAUGAACAUAAACCCUGCUAAUCACCAUGUUCAAAUUUGACACUUUUCCGGGUUCAUUUACAAUAUUUAGGGGAUUAUGUGCAUUUUGUAGGCAUUAAUGCACAUAAUUCAAAUUCAAACAAUUGGUGCUUGAAAAGGUGCACAAGAACGGUCUGGAAAAACCAUACUCGUGGUAUUUAGUAAUUUCUAAAGCCUUUUACAAGGAAUGGGCAGAGAUUUCCAUGGAAUGCGUGGCAAUAGUCAACCACAAACGCGUCAUUUACUGGGUUAUCAACUAUAGAACAAUGAAAUACGUGCUUGAAAAACAUGAUGCCUGGCAUGGUGCCAUGGUAUGGCCUCAUAGUGCCCUGGUUAAAAGCUGAGAAGGUUUGACUUAUGUCGUCAUGCACGCCCUUCAUAAAUCGAACCAUUACCGAGGAAGUUCAAUGCUUUCGAGAGGGAAAUCACCAAGAUUGAAGGGGAAUCAAAAUUUCUGUCCUAGUUUGUCAUUUAGUUUUUUUCCAAUGAUCAACAUACCGCCUCAAAUGCAACAUGUUCAAAUUUGACAUUUUUCCGAACUCAUUUACCAUAUUUAGGGGAUCAUGUGCAUUUUCUAGGCAUUAAUUAUGCACAUAAUUCAAAUAAGAACAAUCAGUGCAUGAAAAGGUGCACAAGAAUGGUGGAAAACCAUGCUCGUGCUAUUUAAUACAUUCUCAUGCCUUUCACAAGGAAUGGGCAGAUAUUUCAAGGAAAUGUGUGACAAUAGUCAACCAUAAACGCAUCGUUUACUGGGUUAACAACUAUACAAAAAUGAAAUACUGUUGGGGAACGUAGUAUUUCAAAAACAAUCCUACGAUCACGCAAGAUCUAUCUAGGAGAAGCAUAGCAACGAGUGGGGAGAGUGUGUCCACGUACCCUCGUAGACCGAAAGGGGAAGCGUUUACUAAUGCGGUUGAUGUUGUCGAACGUCUUCGCCAUCCAACCGAUCAAGUACCGAACGCACAGCACCUCCGUGAUCUGCACAUGUUCAGCUCGGUGGCGUCCCUCGAACUCUAGAUCCAGCUGAGGCCGAGGGAGAGUUUCGCCAGCAUGAUAGUGUGGUGACAGUGAUGAUGAAGUUACCGACGUAGGGCUUCGCCUAAGCACUACGACAAUAUGACCGAGGUGGAAAACUGUGGAGGGGGGCACCGCACACGGCUAAAGAUAAACUUGUGUGUCUAUGGGUUGCCCCUCCCCCGUAUAUAAAGGAGGGGAGGAGGAGACCGGCCGGGGCGCUCCAAGGGGAGAGGAAUCCUACUCUAGUAGGAGUAGUUUCCUCCUUUCCUAGUCCAAGUAGGAGAAAGGGGGGAGGAGGAGGAGGAGANNNNNNNNNNNNNNNNNNNNNNNNNNNNNNNNNNNNNNNNNNNNNNNNNNNNNNNNNNNNNNNNNNNNNNNNNNNNNNNNNNNNNNNNNNNNNNNNNNNNNNNNNNNNNNNNNNNNNNNNNNNNNNNNNNNNNNNNNNNNNNNNNNNNNNNNNNNNNNNNNNNNNNNNNNNNNNNNNNNNNNNNNNNNNNNNNNNNNNNNNNNNNNNNNNNNNNNNNNNNNNNNNNNNNNNNNNNNNNNNNNNNNNNNNNNNNNNNNNNNNNNNNNNNNNNNNNNNNNNNNNNNNNNNNNNNNNNNNNNNNNNNNNNNNNNNNNNNNNNNNNNNNNNNNNNNNNNNNNNNNNNNNNNNNNNNNNNNNNNNNNNNNCGGUACUCCGAAAGUUAUCCGAUACGACCCAAACCAUUCCGGUGUCCGAAUAUAACCUUCCAAUAUAUGAAUCUUUAUGUCUCGACCAUUUAGAGACUCCUCAUCAUGUCCGUGAUCUCAUUCGGACCUCUAAACAACCUUCGGUACAUCAAAUCACAUAAACUCAUAAUACCAAUCGUCAUCGAACGUUAAGCAUGCGGACCCUACGGGUUUGAGAACUAUGUAGACUUGACCAAGACACAUCUCUGGUCCAUAACGAAUAGCGGAACCUGGAUGCUCAUAUUGGCUCCUACAUAUUCUACGAAGAUCUUUAUCGGUCAAACCGCAUAACAACAUACGUUGUUCCCUUUGUCAUCGGUAUGUUACUUGCCCGAGAUUCGAUCAUCGGUAUCAUCAUACCUAGUUCAAUCUCGUUACCGGCAAGUCUCCUUACUCAUUUCUUAAUGCAUCAUCCCGCAACUAACUCAUUAGUCACAUUGCUUGCAAGGCUUAUAGUGAUGUGCAUUACCGAGAGGGCCUAGAGAUACCUCUCCGACAAUCGGAGUGACAAAUCCUAAUCUCGAUCUAUGCCCUGGAGUUUUUUUCUACGACAAACAUACACCCUGCAAAUCACCGUAUUCAAAUUUGGAAUUUUUCUUGGCUCACUCACCAUAUUUAGGGGAUUAUGUGCAUUUUCUAGGCAUUUAGCGCAUAUAAAUCUAAUCCUGCUAUAGGUGCAUGGGUGUUAUGUGAGGGACGUGGAUUGCCAUUCGAUCGCGGCGCAUCCUACAGUGCACACGCGUGAUCCGCGUGGCUGGGGUUUUGGCCAAUCAUAAUGCAACACACAAUAGGCUCAGCGCACACUGUUUCCGGAAGCGACGGAGAUGAACCGUGUGCGAUAAUGAACGAGCAAAAUUGUAAGGGAAGCCAAAUUUCUAUUGGUGUUUGUCGUUGAGCUCUUGAAUACCACUGCACUGUACGGCUGCCUGCCCCCUCCGUCCCAGAGCUCUCUAGAGGCGUCGUCCAUGGCACCGCGACACACAGUAAUUGGUAAGGAAGUGAUGGCAUCUCGCCGCGUCGCGUUCCUCGCUACCCACGACCGCACACAUGGUAAGGAAGCGAAGGCAUCUCGCCGCACCGAUUUCAUCGCCGCCAGCGGCCAGAUAGUUACAUGGGCGGACUUUGAGGCUGCCAUGGCCGAAUGGGUGGUGGAUCUAGAGGCGGCCAAAGCCGCACAGAAGGAGCGGAAAAGGUAGAAAGCAGUCAAGAAAAGAGAGUCCCGCCGCCUCAAUAAAAAAGAGGCCACACACUAUGGUGAGGAGAGCUUGGUGGAGAUCAAAGCACGGUGUGAUGCCGCCUACAAGGCCGGGAAGGAGAACGCCGGCGUCUGGCCAACAUGCCCCAAUGGCAACAUGUGAGAAGAAGUUUAAGUUUGUAGUAUUAGAGCAAAUUACCAGUAGUACUUUAUGUUUGUAGUAUUAACAUACAAUGUCGGUAAGAGCAUCCUUUGAGGGCUUUGAGCGUUGAUUAGCAUGUGUACCCGUGUGUGUUUUUUGAGUUAAUCAUUAGAAGAUCACAAAACACAUGGUUUCUAUGCCGUACCCGUCUCAUUUUUUUGCGUUAAUGAUCCAUAAGUCAGUUACCUGUGCGAUGUUUCCUAAUAAACCAGGCGUACCAUUGACCGAGAAAAAUCAACUACAUGUGUACAUUUUUUUGGAGACGGGAUCUGCUGAUGAUCCACAAGUAUAGAGGAUCUAUCGUAGUCCUUUCGAUAAGUAAGAGUGUCGAACCCAACAAGGAGCGGAACGAAAUGAUAAGCUGUUUUUAGCAAGGUAUUCUCUGCAAGCACUGAAAUAAUAGGUAACAGAUAGUUUUGUGAUAGGAUAAUUUGUAACGAGUAACAAGGAACAAAAGUAAAUAAAGUGCAGCAAGGUGGCCCAAUCCUUUUUGUGGUAAAGGACAAGCCUGGACAAACUCUUAUAUGAUGUAAAGCGCUCCCGAGGACACAUGGGAAUAUCGUCAAGCUAGUUUUCAUCACGAUCAUAUGAUUCACGUUCGGUACUUUGAUAAUUUGGUAUGUGGGUGGACCGGUGCUUGGGUACUGUCCUUACUUGGACAAGCAUCCCACUUAUGAUUAACCUCUAUUGCAAGCAUCCGCAACUACAACAAAAGUAUUAAGGUAAACCUAACCAUAGCAUGAAACAUAUGGAUCCAAAUCAGCCCCUUACGAAGCAAUGCAUAAACUAGGGUUUAAGCUUCUGUCACUCUAGCAACCCAUCAUCUACUUAUUACUUCCCAAUGCCUUCCUCUAGGCCCAAAUAAUGGUGAAGUGUCAUGUAGUCGACGUUCACAUAACACCACUAGAGGAGAGACAACAUACAUCUCAUCAAAAUAUCGAACGAAUACCAAAUUCACAUGACUACUAAUAGAAAGACUUCUCCCAUGUCCUCAGGAACAAACAUAACUACUCACAAAGCAUAUUCAUGUUCAUAAUCAGAGGGGUAUUAAUAUGCAUAUAGGAUUUGAACAUAUGAUCUUGCACCAAAUAAAAAAACUAGCAUCAACUACAAGGAGUAAUUAACACUACUCGCAACCCACAGGUACCAAUUCCAGACUUGGAGACAAGAAUUGGAUACAAGAGAUGAACUAGGGUUUUGAGAGGAGAUGGUGCUGGUGAAGAUGUUGAUGGAGAUUGCCCUCUCCCGAUGAGAGGAGCAUUGGUGAUGACGAUGGUGAUGAUUUCCCCCUCACGGAGGGAAGUUUCCCCGGAAGAAUAGCUCCGCCAAAGCCCUAGAUUGGUUUCGCCAAGGUUCCGCCUCGUGGCAGCGGAGUCUUGUCCGGAAAGAUGGCUUAUGAUUUUUUCCUCAUCGAAAGACUCCAUAUAGGAGAAGAUUGCCAUCGGAGGGCCACCAGGGGGCCCACGAGGUAGGGGGCGCGCCCAGGGGGGUAGGGCGUGCCCCCACCCUCGUGGGCAGGGUGUGCCCCCCCUAGCGAACUUCUUGCGCUCAGUAUUUUUUAUAUAUUCUGAAAACAUCUUCCGUGAAGUUUCAGGACUUUUGGAGCUAUGCAGAAUAGGUCUCUAAUAUUUGCUCCUUUUCUAGCCCAGAAUCCCAGCUGCCGGCAUUCUCCCUCUUUAUGUAAACCUUGUAAAAUAAGAGAGAAUAGGCAUAAGUAUUGUGACAUAAUGUGUAAUAACAGCCCAUAAUGCAAUAAAUAUCGAUAUAAAAGCAUGAUGCAAAAUGGACGUAUCAACUCCCCCAAGCUUAGACCUCGCUUGUCCUCAAGCGAAAGCCGAAAUCAAAAAAUAUGUCCACAUGUUUAGAGAUAGAGGUGUUGACAAAAAUAAAAUACGGACAUGAGGGCAUCAUGAUCAUUCUUAGAACAUCAACUUAUAGAAUUCUUGUCAUAUGAUCUCUUAUGCUAGAGUAACAAUUCAAUCACAAUUUCAAGUAUGAAUCAUAAACUUCAUUGACAACUAACAAAUUAUAAUCUCGGUCAUUGGAGCAAUUGCAAUUUAUCAUAACAUAGGAAAGAGUCAAUAUAAGAGCUUUUCAACAAGUCCACAUACUCAACUAUCAUAUAGUCUUUCAGAAUUGCUAACACUCACACAAUACUUAUGGGUAUGGAGAUUUAAUCGGACACAGAGAAAGAUAGGGGCUUAUAGUUUUGCCUCCCAACGUUUUACCUCAAGGGUAAUGUCAACAAUAAUAGUUCAUGAAAACUCACAUCCAAUUAGCCAUAUAUAUCAGGAUCUUUCCAACAUAUUGUGCUUGCCAAAGGACAAAAUGUAAAAAGGAAGGGUGAAGAUCACCAUGACUCUUAUGCAAGGUAGGAGAUAAAAGUAAAAGAUAGGCCCUUCGCAGAGGGAAGCAGAGGUUGUCAUGCGCUUUUAUGGUUGGAUGCACAAAAUCUUAAUGUGAAAGAACGUCACUUUAUAUUGCCACUUGUGAUAUGGACCUUUAUUAUGCAGUCUGUCUCUUUUAUUUCUUCCAUAUCACACGAUCGUAUAAAGCUUAUUUUCUCCCACACUAAUAAGUCAUACAUAUUUAGAGAGCAAUUUUUAUUGCUUGCACCGAUGACAACUUACUUGAUGAUCUUACUCAAUCCAUAGGUAGGUAUGGUGGACUCUCAUGGCAAAACUGGUUUAAGGGUAUUUGGAAGCACAAGUAGUAUCUCUACUUGGUGCGAUGAAUAUGGCUAGCAUGAGGGGGAAAGGCAAGCUCAACCAUGUUGGAUGAUCCAUGACAAUAUAAUUUAUCUCAGAUGUAAGAAAACAUAACCCAUUACGCUGUCUUCCUUGUCCAACGUCAACUCUUUAGCAUGUCACAUUUUAAUGAGUGCUCACAAUCAUAAAAGAUGUCCAAGAUAGUAUAUUUAUAUGUGAAGACCUCUCUUUCUUUAUUACUUCCUAUUAAUUGCAACGAUGACCAAAAAAUUGUUUGUCAACUCUCAACAACUUUUAUUCAUCAUACUUUUCUAUGUGAGCUCAUUACUCUCCAUAAGAUCCAUAUGAUCUCUUUUAUUUAUUUUUAUUCUUUCUUCCUUUCUUUUAUUCACUCAAGAUCAUGGCAAAAGAAUCAAGCCCUUGACUCAACACUAAUCUUUACUAUAUAUAGCUCACGGACUCGAUUACAUAGAAGGAUCAUAAAGCAAAACUCACAACUAGAUCAUACUAAAAACUUUAUACUACUAGAUCAAGAUAUUACCAAAAGGAUCGAACUAAGAAAAGCGGUAAAGAUAAAAGUGAUGGUGAUACGAUACCGGGGCACUCCCCCAAGCUUGGAAGUUGCCAAGGGGAGUGCCCAUACCCAUGUGAUUAUAUCUCUUUUGUCGGUGAAGAAGUUAUUGGUGAUGAUGGAUAGUCACACAUCGAGCGUGGGAGAUCUUCCAACUUGUGGAUAAUGCCCUUGAGUGAAAUGAUAUGCUCCUUCAACAAAAUAUUUUCACGUGUAAGAUACUUAUUUUGUAUACGAGCUAAAUAAAUCAUCUUGAAAGCUUUGAUCUCAGUUGGGGUAAGAAGAUUGUGAUCAAGUUGAAGAAUGUCUUCUGUUGCCGGCACUUGGUCCUCCGUGGCCUUCUUGAUCCCUUCAUCCUUGUUGAUCUCCAUGGGUUCUUCUCUCUUCAGCUCUAUCUUCAUUAGCCAAGCAUCGUUGACCUCAUGGUUGGAGGAGGAGGGAGACGACAUAAUGCCUAGUCUUGACAACCCUGACAAAAAGCAGCUCGAAACAAAGACAAGAGAUAUUUGCGUGAUACGGGAGUCAAAACCUCCGGGAGAUUAUAUAAUGAAUUUUUACCGACCAAAAUACGUAACGUGUAAGAAAACGGAGUCCGGAGAGCACUCGAGGUGCCCACGAGGUAGGGGGGCGCGCCCAGGGGGUAGGGCGCGCCCUCCACCCUCGUGGAGCCCUCGUGUCCUUUCCGGACUGCUUCUUAUUUUUCUAUUUUUCUAAAUAUUCAAAAACGGAAGAAAAUUGCCAUUAGAAUUGUUUUGGAGUCGGUUUACUUACCGUACCACAUACCUAUUCCUUUUCAGAGUCUGAAACAUUCCGGAAAGUGUCCCUUAUGUAUUCCUCCGGGGUUACAGUUUCAAUAACAUUGGUUUCAACAUUUACAUGAUUACUUGAGAUAUAAUGUUUAAUUCUUUGACCAUUCACCACCUUCAGAUUUGUGCCUUCGAAGUUGUUGCUUUUAUGGCACCGGAAUGAUAGACCUCCUCGAUAACGUAUAAUAAUACAUAAUCACCUACAUUAAAAUCAUGCUUUUGUAUUCUUUUGUCAUGCCAUCUUUUAACUUUUUCUUUAAACAAUUUGGCAUUCUCAUAGGCUUGGGUUCUCCAUUCAUCAAGUGAGCUAAUGUCAAAUAACCUCUUCUCACCGGCAAGUUUAAAAUCAUAGUUGAGCUCUUUAAUAGCCCAAUAAGCCUUAUGUUCUAGUUCGAGAGGUAAGUGACAUGCCUUUCCAUAAACCAGUUUAUACGGAGACAUCCAUAGGAUUUUUAUAUGCAGUUCUAUAGGACCAUAAUGCAUCAUCAAGUUUCUUGGACCAAUUCUUUCUAGAUCUAUUAACAGUCUUUUGCAAAAUUAAUUUGAGUUCUCUGUUGCUCAAUUCUACUUGACCACUAGACUGUGGGUGAUAAGGAGAUGUAAUUCUAUGAUUAACAUCAUAUUUAGCAAGCAUUCUACGGAAAGCACCGUGAAUAAAAUGUGAACCACCAUCAGUCAUUAAAUAUCUAGGGACUCCAAACCUUGGAAAAAUAACUUCUUUAAGCAUUUUAAUAGAAGUGUUAUGAUCAGUACUACUAGUUGGAAUAGCUUCUACCCACUUAGCAACGUAAUCAACAACAACUAAAAUAUGUGUAUAUCCAUUAGAGGCAGGAAAAGGUCCCAUAUAAUCAAAGCCCCAAGCAUCAAAUGGUUCAAUAACAAGUGAAUAAUUCAUAGGCAUUUCUUGACGUCUACUAAUAUUACCAAUUCUUUGACAUUCAUCACAAGACAAGACAAACUUACGGGCAUCCUUGAAGAGAGUAGGCCAAUAAAAACCGGAUUGCAAUACCUUGUGUGUAGUUCUAUCUCUAGCAUGGUGUCCUCCAUAAGCCUCGGAGUGACACUUGCGUAGGAUCUGUUCAUGUUCAUGCUCAGGUACACAACGUCUAAUAACACCAUCUACUCCUUUAUAAAGAUGUGGGUCAUCCCAAAAGUAAUGUCUCAAAUCAUAGAAGAACUUUUUCUUUUGUUGGUAUGUGAAACUAAGUGGUAUAAAUUUAGCAACAAUGUAAUUAGCAUAAUCAGCAUACCAUGGAGCAGUAUGAGAAGCAUUUAUGACAUUUAAUUGUUCAUCAGGAAAGCUAUCAUCAAUAGGUAGUGGGUCAUCAUGCACAUUCUCUAGCCUAGACAAGUUGUCUGCAACGGGGUUCUCAGCACCCUUUCUAUCAAUAAUAUGCAAAUCAAAUUCUUGUAGCAAGAGAACCCAUCUAAUAAGUCUAGGUUUAGCAUCUUUCUUUUCCAUAAGAUAUUUAAUAGCAGCAUGAUCAGUGUGAAUAGUUACUUUAGAAUCAACAAUAUAAGGUCUGAACUUAUCACAAGCAAAUACAACUGCUAAGAAUUCCUUUUCAGUAGUAGCAUAAUUUCUCUGAGCAUUAUCUAGAGUUUUACUAGCAUAUUGAAUAGCAUUUAAUUUCUUAUCAACUCUUUGCCCUAGAAUAGCACCUAUAGAAUAAUCACUAGCAUCACACAUAAUUUCAAAGGGUAAAUUCCAAUCAGGUGGCUGAACAAUAGGUGCAGAGAUCAAUGCUUUCUUAAGUAUUUCAAAUGCUUCUACACAAUCAUCAUCAAAGACAAAUGGUAUAUCUUUUUGUAAUAAAUUAGUCAGAGGCCGAGAAACUUUGAGAAGUCCUUAAUGAACCUCCUAUAAAAACCGGCAUGACCAAGAAAACUUCUUAUACCUUUGAUGUCCUUGGGACAUGGCAUCUUUUCAAUAGCAUCAACCUUGGCUUUAUCAACUUCAAUACCUCUUUCAGAAACUUUAUGCCCCAAGACAAUACCUUCAUUAACCAUAAAGUGGCACUUUUCCCAAUUCAAGACAAGAUUAGUUUCUUCACAUCUCUGCAAAACUUGAUCAAGGUUGCUUCAGCAAUCAUCAAAAGAGGAUCCAUAGACGGAAAAAUCAUCCAUGAAAACCUCACAAAUCUUUUCACAAAAGUCAGAGAAUAUAGCCAUCAUGCAUCUUUGAAAGGUAGCAGGUGCAUUGCAUAAACCAAAAGGCAUACGUCUAUAAGCAAAAGUACCAAAAGGGCAAGUAAAAGUAGUCUUUGAUUGAUCAUUGGCUGACACAGGUAUUCGAGAGAAACCAGAAUAACCAUCUAGAAAGCAAAAAUGUGUAUGUUUGGAUAAUCUUUCUAGCAUUUGAUCGAUAAAAGGUAAGGGGUAAUGAUCUUUUUUAGUAGCUUUAUUUAAUUUGCGGAAAUCAAUUACCAUCCUAUAACCUGUAAUAAUUCUUUGCGGGAUCAACUCAUCUUUAUCAUUAGGAACGAUAGUAAUACCUCCCUUCUUAGGGACAGAAUGGACAGGACUUACCCACUGACUAUCAGCAACGGGAUAAAUUAUACCUGCCUCAAGAAGUUUUAGUAUUUCCUUUCUUACGACUUCCUCCAUCUUAGGAUUCUGCCGUCGUUGAUGAUCACAAAUUGGUUUGGCACCUUCCUCUAAAUUUAUUUUGUGUUGACACAGAGUGGGACUAAUGCGCUUAAGAUCAUCAAGAGUAUAUCCAAUAGCAGCACGGUGCUUGUUCAGAGUUUUCAAUAAUCUCUCUUCCUCAUGCUCUGAAAGGUUAGCACUAAUAAUAAUAGGAUAUAUCUUUUUCUCAUCAAGAUAAGCAUAUUUAAGAGUAUCAGGUAACGGUUUAAGCUCAAACAUGGGAUCACCCUUGGGUGGAGGAGGAUCCCCUAGGAUUUCAACAGGCAAAUUGUGUUUUAGGAUGGGUUCCUAUUUAAAUAAUACUUCAUCUAUUUCCCUUCUCUCAUUCAUGAACAUAUCAUUUUCAUGGUCUAGCAAAUAUUGUUCUAAAGGAUCACUAGGAGGUACGACAAUAGAAGCAAGACCAAUAAUUUCAUCUUUAUUAGGCAAUUCCUCUUCACGGUGUUGUCUACGAAAUUUAGAGAAAUUAAAUUCAUGAGACAUAUCACCUAAACCAAUAGUAACAACAUCCUUUUUGCAAUCUAUCUUAGCAUUAACAGUGUUCAAGAAGGGUCUACCAAAUAUAAUGGGACAAAAGCUAUCUUGUGGGGAACCAAGAACAAGAAAAUCAGCAGGAUAUUUAGUUUUCCCACGCAAGACUUCAACAUCUCUAACAAUUCCAAUUGGUGAAAUAGUAUCUCUAUUGGCAAGUUUAAUUGUGACAUCAAUAUCUUCUAUAUCAGCAGGUGCAAUAUCAUGCAUUAUUUCUUUGUAUAAGUCAUGAGGUAUAGCACUAGCAGUGGCACCCAUAUCACAUAAGCCAUGAUAACAAUGAUCUCCUAUUUUAACAGAAAUAACAGGCAUGCCUGCCAAAGAUCUAGGUUUAUCUUUAGCACAAGGUUUAGCAAUUCUAAUAGUCUCAUCACGGAAAUGAAUAACAUGCCCAUCAAUAUUAUCAGACAAGAGAUCUUUAACAAUAGAAAUAUUAGGUUCAACUUUAAUUUGCUCAGGAGGUGUAUAAGUUCUAAUAUUGCUUUUACGAACCAUAGUUGAAGCUUUAGCAUGAUCCUUUAUCCUAAUAGGGAAAGGUGGUUUCUCAACAUAAGAAGUAGGAACAAUAGGAUCAUUAUAAGUGAUAGUCUUUUCUUCAACUUUAAUAGGUGCAGCUACUUUUACUUCUAUGGGAGGAUGAAAAUUAAACCACUUCUCCCUAGGGAGAUCAACAUGAGUAGCAAAAUAUUCACAGAAGGAAGUUAUUAUCUCAGAGUCAAGUCCAUAUUUAGUGCUAAAUUUACGAAAAACAUCGGUAUCCAUAAAAUAUUUAACACAAUCAAAUUUAGGUGUCAUAGCUGACUCCUUACCUUUGUCGAGGUCCCAAUCUUCAGAGUUGCGUUUAAUUCUUUCCCUUAAAUCCCAUUUGAAUUCAAUAGUCUUCGUCAUAAAAGAGCCAUCACAGGAAGUAUCGAGCAUGGUGCGAUUGUUAUCAGAAAGCCGAGCAUAUAAAUUUUGAAUAAUCAUUUCUUUUGAGAGCUCAUGAUUGGGGCAUGAAUAUAACAUUGAUUUAAGCCUUCCCCAAGCUUGAGCGAUACUUUCUCCUUCGCGAGGCCAAAAAUUAUAUAUAUAAUUGCGAUCAUGAUGAACAAGAUGCAUAGGAUAAAACUUCUGAUGAAAUUCCAAUUUCAAUCGUUUGUAGUUCCAUGACCCCGUAUCAUCACAUAGCCUAUACCAUGUCAAUGCAUCUUCCUACAAAGAUAAAGGGAAGACCUUCUUCUUAAUAACAUCUCCAGGUACACCUGCAAGCUUAAAUAAUCCACUAACUUCAUCCACAUGUAUUAGGUGCUCAUCAGGAUGCGUUGUUCCGUCUCCUGUAAAAGGAUUAGCUAGCAGUUUUUCUAUCAUACCCGAAGGAAUUUCAAAGCAGACAUUUUCAUUUUCAGUAGGUUGAGGAACAACUCUUUGCUCUACUGGUCGGGGUGAAGAUAUCCCGAACAAUCCCCUCAGAGGAUUACUUUCCAUAGUAACAAGGGACAGUAAAUUUCAGCACACUAUAUAAAUUUUUCCUUACCAAAUUCCACCUACCAAAGGCGCUUCACUCUCCGGCAACGGCGCCAGAAAAGAGUCUUGAUGAUCCAAAAGUAUAGGGGAUCUAUCAUAGUCCUUUCGAUAAGUAAGAGUGUCGAACCCAACGAGGAGCGGAAGGAAAUGAUAAGCGGUUUUCAGCAAGGUAUUCUCUGCAAGCACUGAAAUAAUAGGUAACCGAUAGUUUUGUGAUAGGAAAUUUGUAAUGAGUAACAAGUAACAAAAGUAAAUAAAGUGCAGCAAGGUGGCCCAAUCCUUUUUGUAGUAAAGGACAAGCCUGGACAAACUCUUAUAUGAUGUAAAGCGCUCCUGAGGACACCUGGGAAUAUCGUCAAGCUAGUUUUCGUCACGAUCAUAUGAUUUGCGUUCGGUACUUUGAUAAUUUGGAAUGUGGGUGGACCGGUGCUUGGGUACUGUCCUUACAUGGACAAGCAUCCCACUUAUGAUUAACCUCUAUUGCAAGCAUCCACAACUACAACAAAAGUAUUAAGGUAAACCUAACCAUAGCAUGAAACAUAUGGAUCCAAAUCAGCCCCUUACGAAGCAACACAUAAACUAGGGUUUAAGCUUCUGUCACUCUAGCAACCCAUCAUCUACUUAUUACUUCCCAAUGCCUUCUUCUAGGCCCAAAUAAUGGUGAAGUGUCAUGUACUCGACGUUCACAUAACACCACUAGAGGAGAGACAACAUACAUCUCAUCAAAAUAUCGAACGAAUACCAAAUUCACAUGACUACUAAUAGCAAGACUUCUCCCAUGUCCUCAGGAACAAACGUAACUACUCACAAAGCAUAUUCAUGUUCAUAAUCAGAGGGGUAUUAAUAUGCAUAUAGGAUCUGAACAUAUGAUCUUCCACCAAAAAACCAACUAGCAUCAACUACAAGGAGUAAUUAAUACUACUAGCAACCCACGGGUACCAAUCCCGGGCUUAGAGACAAGAAUUGGAUACAAGAGAUGAACUAGGGUUUUGAGAGGAGAUGGUGCUGGUGAAGAUGUUGAUGGAGAUUGCCCUCUCCCGAUGCGAGGAGCGUUGGUGAUGAUGAUGGCGAUGAUUUCCCCCUCCCAGAGGGAAGUUUCCACGGAAGAACAGCUCCGCCAGAGCCCUAGAUUGGUUCCGCCAAGGUUCCGCCUCAUGGUGGCGGAGUCUCGUGCAGAAAGAUGGCUUAUGAUUUUUUCCUCAUCGAAAGACUCCAUAUAGGAGAAGAUGGCCAUCAGAGGGCCACCAGGGGGCCCACGAGGUAGCGGGGCGCGCCCAGGGGGGUAGGGCGCGCCCCCCACCCUCGUGGGCAGGGUGUGGCCCCCUUGGUGAACUUCUUGCGCUCAAUAUUUUUAUAUAUUGUGAAAACGUCUUUCGUGAAGUUUCAGGACUUUUGGAGCUGUGCAGAAUAGGUCUCUAAUAUUUGCUCCUUUUCCAACCCAGAAUCCCAGCUGCCAGCAUUCUCCCUCUCUAUGUAAACCUUGUAAAAUAAGAGAGAAUAGGCAUAAGUAUUGUGACAUAAUGUGUAAUAACAUCCCAUAAUGCAAUAAAUAUCGAUAUAAAAGCAUGAUGCAAAAUGGACGUAUCAUCUGCCAACUUUCUUUUCUCGCACACGAGUAUUUUACACGCUUCGUCUACAUUGUGUGUUUGCCCCACCCAAGUUUCAAGUUUCACAGCGAAAUUUUCAUUUGGCGCGCGAUUUCAGAAUUUAUUCCUCCAACCACAUCCCCACCCUCAGUAUCCCCCCUCGCACCUCCCCCUACCGGCAUCUCAAACCGCCGCCGUCGCAACCAUAGCUUCAACCACAUCUACGUUCUGCUUAGAUCCAAUCAGGUAACCCACCGAUCUCUAUCACAGCCGCGCCUGAUUGCUUAAAUGAUGCAUGCGAAACAUCCUCAUGCCUCCAAAUCCCCACUGCCAGGAGCUGAUGGCGGUCCAUGGCGCGAUGGCUGCUGUGUGUGUUGACCCGGAGGAACACCUCGCCUUCGCCGAUAUGGUGCAUGCUCUGGCCCAGAUGACGUGCCCCAGCACUACCACCUAGGACUUAACAUGUAAGAUUUGACCAGCUAAAUCUUACCAAUACCACUUGCAACAACUACGAUUUGUACGGUUAAUGUAUUAACCAUGUUCAUGCCUUGUUUAUUUUAGUAGUACACACCGUGUGAUGUUCAAAUAUUACCAUGUGCAGCUAAGGAUGGCAAUGGGUCGGGUUUGGACUGGGUUGAACAAUAUCAAAUCCAUAUCCAUAUCCAUGAAGACAGUCUUUGCCCGCCCAUGAAAAAAUCCAUGGGUGAAAAAUUGUGUCUAUGUCCAAAUCCGAUGGAUAUCCAUAUCCACUGGAUAUCCAUUGGGUCCUCUCGAGACAUAUAAAUAAGACUUAACACAAUAUUAACAUAAACUCUUCCAUUCUUCACCUCGUGGCAGGCUAGGCUUCACUUAGGGUAAAUCAACAUCCAGUAAAAACCUAAGAUCAUUUAGUAUUUUUCUAACAGAUGAGAAUGACGAGUCAUUUAAGAAGGAGAUAAAAUAAGGGAAGGAGUGUUGGAGUAUAUUAUAGAGGGGAUUGAUUAUCAACUUAUAAAAGUUAUGAUGGGGAUUGUGUAAUUUCUUAUGCAUGUUUUAGAUAAAAAUGUGUAAAAUUGCCGUGGGACAUGUGAACGUGGGGCAGGGAUGGCAGAUUUUUUUCCAUUAAGUCAUACUAUCGGGUCGGAUUUGGAUAUAUCCAUGGGUACAAGAUUAUAUCCAUGCCCUACCCAUGAACAAUCGGGUCGGGUUUGGGCGCCGCCCAUGGACACAAAAGCAUAUCCAAACCCUAUCCAUUCGAGUCGGAUAUCCAUGGAUAUCCAUGUCCAUGGAUAAAAUUGCCAUCCUUAUGUGUAGCUCAAUUUCACCAAUAUCAGCAACAAACUUACAAUACAUGAGUCAGGAUAUCACUAGAGAUGCUGCCCAUUUGCUAUUUUUAGUGGAUGCUAACCAUGUUGUACUUAACAUGCCUGUCCAUGCACUUACGCAGGGUCAUAACGACCGAUGUUGUUGUUUGUCGUCGAGGUUAGCUGCAUCCCAUGUCUUACAGUAUCACAUCAUUUGUGCAAUUGCAGUUUAACUUUUACCAUUUACUGGUUGCCUGUAGGUGCACAUGUCAGUGGCACUGAUCCACGCUUCAACCCGGAGGAACAGCUCGCCUUUGGUGCCGCUGACUUUGGGCGGGCUCUGGCCAAGAUGAAGUGCCCCAGCAACCACCUCUCAGGACUUACCAAGUAUGUACUCACCCAGUUCAAUCUUACCAAUACCAGUUGCAAUUAAUGGCUAUGUUUUGUAUGGUCGAUGUAUUAAGCAUGUUGUAGUAAACAUGCCUAACACGUUUUAGUUAUUUUCCCUAUCUUUUUAUAGACAACUGGGCCAUUAUCUGCUCUGGCAGCACCUGCCCUGUGAUGUUUAACUCUGCCAAUUGCAUUUUUUUCAGUAUCGGUUUCAAUGGCCAUUAAGCCUGUUGCAAUUAAUAGUUGUAUACAUUUUUAAAGAGUUGUAUUUCAAUGGCUAAAAACUUACAAAACAUGAACAUUGGCUUUCCAUAGAUGCUGUCGUUUUAUUACCAUUUGCUAUUUUUGGUGGAUGUUAACCCUGUUGUAGUAGACAUUGGCUUUCCAUGUACUUACACAGGGCUACAAUGGGCGAUGUUGUUGUUUGCCGUCGAGGUUAGCUGCAUCUCAUGUCUUGUACACCAUCUAUUCCUAAAUAUAAGUAUUUUUAGAGAUUUCAAUAUAGACUACGUAAGGAGCAAAAUGAGUGAAUCUAGAUUCUAAUCUAAACUAUAUCUAUAAUUCUAUAUACAUCCGUAUGUAGUUCAUAUUGAAAUCUUAAAAAAAUACUUGUACUUAGGAACAUAGGUACUUGUAUUUUACAUCAUUUGUGCAAUCCAAGGUUGUUAGAAUCGCGAUUCUGUUAUACGAUUCUACGACUUUACGAUCCAAACUAACCCCUAUGAUUCUACGAUUUUAGUUCUUAGAAUCUACGUUUCUACGAUCUUGAUAGUGGAGAUUCUAUGAUUUGCAAUCCUACCAUCAAAGCUCCGAUCCGAUUCAAAAUCGCGAUUCUGACAACCUUGGUGCAAUCUCAAUUUAGCUUCUAACAUUUACUGUUUGCUUGUAGGUACAUAUAUGAGCGGUACUGAUCCACGCUUCGAUCCCUUUUGCGUAUGGGACAAUGAGAUAUUCAUGAACAAGCGUCAAGUAAGGAAACUAAGAAAGAUCUUUAGGCGAAAGAAACAGGUGAUUGGAAUUAAGAUCUUUAUUUACACUUUGUCCAAGACAAUAGUGAACUUUAGGAUGGUAAGUACCGUGUUGCCUUUUCCCCCUGCCCACAACAAGUUACUCUAUUAGACCUCAGUAUCUGAUAUUUUUCUCUUUUCAGUGGUUUCCAAAGCUAUUUACUAAUGAUUACCUUGCAAACUACAUGACCGGAGUGGAGGCAACUAAGGUUGAAGUAUAUAAUUCAUGCUACCAUGAUAAUGCUCUAGAAGUCUUCCUGAAGGCGGUGAAGGAUGGGCGGGCGAUUGUCACAAGGGGUUGGACAAAAGUGGUUCGUGCCUAUGGCAUGCAGGAAGGCAGAUUAUGGGCAUUCCGCUUCUUCAACACUGUCGGUAGUCAAAAUGAUUUACACUUGUCUCUUCACCUUUACUGCCUUUAAAUAUUGUGGUUCAUCAUAGUUAAUUGAUGCCUAGUCCUGUAAUUACUAAACAUAUUGUAUUGACAAUUUUAUUUAUGGAUUCGUUGUUGAACCAUUGUGCUAAGAAUUUGAAUUGCACGUUUCAUAUUUCAAAAUUUCCAAUUCGAUAAUAAAUUACAGGCAAAAAUAAAAAUAUACAGGAGCUUAUAAAAUAAUGUGCACACGGUUAGAAAGAAAACAUCAUGUGCGAUGUAAAAAGAGAACAGACGGUCAUGGAACUUUGCAAACGGUUCUGGUAGUAAAAGCGCAUGUGAUGGAUAGCCCAAUGCCACACAAUUUUCUACAUCAAAUCGUGUGUGAUGUAGUUCAUAAAAGCAAACAGUUAACCAAGGCAGAGCGUGUGUGAUAGUUACACCUUUCACACACGAGUGUAUACAUAAAAUUGUGUGGGAUGCACAUACGAACGGAAAUGUUUUCCCUGGAUUGACUGUGUGGGAUGUACAUAAGAACGGAAACGUAUUCCUUGGAUUGACUGUGUGUGAUAUAGAUACCUACGGAAAUGUUUUUUCUGGGAUUCAUCGUGUGGGAUGUACAUACCUAUGAAAUGAUUGGGUUUCGAUGCCUCGCCCGAUCGCACACGAGCUCAUUUGGUGUCCUAGGAGGGUCUAUCCCCAACGAUUUUUGGGUCAUGUGGGAAGGACCCCCCUAUCGCCCACACUCACUUGGCGACGGUUCCAAAUGCCCUUGCGGAAAGGGGUUUAAAACCGUUUGUAUAGCACCGAUGCAUACCAGCGUCUAAGAACCUGACAUUGGUUUGUGUGUUAGAACCCUUUGAGAGUUCGACCAGUGAAUGAACGCACUACAUUUCCUAGGUCAUCGAUCAUUGGAGUAAGGUAGGCAGAAAAUAGAGCACACCGGAGCUACCCAGGUUCAGGCCACCAUCUAGGUGUAAUACCCUGCUACUGCUUUAGGAUGUUAUUGUUGUAUGUUCUCGAUGAACUGGCUACAAUGUGUGUUGUAACUUGUGAGUGAGUCAACGCUUCCGAGGUCGCUCCCGCCUCCCUUUUAUACAGAGCCAUGUCCCCCCCCUUCAUCCGAUGGGAGGCUGCCACAUGUCCUGAUCCUAGUAGGGUAGAAAAAAGGGGAGAACGCCCAUAUCGGCCUAACCCGAUGGGGCACGCAUGCUUGCCCAUGCACCGGCAGACCUCGGGGUAAGGGGCCUAAGUUGUGGAUCUCAGACGGAUGGUAACAGGAACAAGGAGAUAGUGUUUUCCUAGGUUCGGGCCCUCUUGAUGGAGGUAAAACCCUAUGUCCUGCUCUUGUUUAUAAUUAUGGAGAUGUAUCGAGUAUAGAGUUGAUCUACCUCGAGAUCAUAAGAUGUGUUCUAGCUCUAGGGCUAGGUGAAUGAGAUUGCGUUGAUGUCCCCCCUACGGGCUUAACCACUUGGCUUAUAUACACACUAGGUAGGGAAUCUAGGGUUACAAAGUCGGUAUCUCUGCGUGGAGGCGGCAGGAGAAGUCUUGGAGUAUACGCCAAGUCUUCGAUAAAUAUAGUCUUGAUCACACCCCCAUCAUGUGGCUCCAGGAGUCAAUCUUGAGAUGAAUGAGGGCCCACCAUCCCAUCCUGAGGAGCAUGGGCCGACAAGGUUAGUACCCCUUAGUCCAGGACACUAGUGGCGGAUCCAGGAUUUGAAGUUACCCGGGGCAGACUUUUAAAAUAAAUAAAAAAUUGAAUCUACUAUAUAAUCAAGUAAGACAAUCAAUAAAUUUUAUUGGUCAACUAUACAUUCAGGCAACACGGUCAACAUAAUUAAUUAUUGAAAAUAGUUUCAUUCUUAAGAAUUGGAAAAUAAAUAUAUAACACAAUUUUUUAAUAAAGUCUAACUUGGACUCCCGGUUGUUGAAUCUUCCUUUAUUUAUCCAAAAAUGUCUAACUUUCAAGUCCAUUACAAUACCUAAAACUUGUCAAAAUAGAUUAAUUUAAAUCUUAGCACAACAUGACACUUGUUCAAAAAAAUAUAAGACAAGUUUUUGCCACUAAAGUUGCCAAUGUUGGCUGCUCGAUUGUAGUUUUGAGCAGAUGACACUAGAAACAAGGGACUCCAUUCUCCUUCCCCAUCUAGCACUUGGAUGGACCUGGGCAGCGCCAGAGGAAUUGGCUUCAAAUUGACUGCAACCGGAAACAUUAAGCCCGACUACGUUUAAAAAUUAAUGGGCUAAUCUCAUCUUUCAUUGGGCCUUACUUGACUUACCCAUCUCCUAGUGAAUCAUGGCCUAUCGUGUAUCUCUCCUAGCGAACCGUUUCUUUCCUCUCCUCUCUUCCUGCUCGUUGCUCAACCUCAACUGACAUGAAUCUGCUCGCUUCCCAUGGUAGACAUGCCAAAGUAGCAGGUGGGAUACCCUAGGUUCUCAAAAUUUACCCAGGGCGGCUGCCCAUACAUGACCCCACGCUAGCGCCGCCCCUGUAGGACACCAUCAGUACCCCCCAAACUGGUCUUCUAUGCCGAUGACGAUUUCCUUGACGAAGAUAACCUCGGAUCCGGAGUCCUUAGCUUGAUAGACGAGUUCCCCUUUGUGACUUUAAGAUCCUGAACCGCUCUUUAAAGAGGUAGUGUCUCGCAAUCAAGACUUAGUCGGGCUCGCACCUUGCCCGAGGAGGUGUGAAUAGUGCUACCUAGCAUGAUAACUUUAUCAAAAUGGCGCAACCCACGACGGGUCGGGCAAUUACUGCUUACCCCAAAUCAUGACCCGAGGUAGCCUUUUUACUGGAGCAUCCCAUCGGAGUGGAGAUCGUGCUCGUUUGCUUAGGGAUAUCAUCAAAUUUUGUUUCCCCCCAUACACAUGACAUAUUUUGCGGGGGAGUGGUGUUUUUACCUACGUAGAAAGGGGGACUCUUGGCCUUUCAUCAGCCUAUAAGAGUAAGAAAACAAUAGUGCCAACAAGAUCACUCCCAUAUCCCCCACAUGCUGCCUUCUCGAGCUCUAGCGCCCAGAUCGAAUCUCGCUUUCCUCAUCCACAAUGCGCUCAAGCCCCCCCCCCCCACCUAGCCAUGGCCGACACCCUUAAGGGGCACUGGGGUGGCUCCGUCGUGAUGGAGGGCACCAUCUUGGAGCUGAGUAGUGCAGGAUACAUCCCUGCCAACAUGGCUGCCGCGCUCCUAGCGCCAACCAACAGGUGCCCGCUUGAUUGCUUGUAAUCUACGUUGGUAAUUCCCCGAAGAGGAGGGGAUGAUGCAACACAUCAAUGGUAAGUAUUUCCCUCAGUUAUGAAACCAAGGUUAUUAACCUAGUAGGAGAACCAAGAAACACUAUGUAAACAACACCUGCACACAAACAACAAAAACUUGCAACCCAACGCGUGAAGGGGUUGUCAAUCCCUCAACGGUAUUGGGAUAGAUUAAAUUGUAUGAGAUUGGAUAAAUAGAUCCAGCAAAAACACAAAAUAAAAUAAAGAAAGAAAAAUUGCAGCAAGGUAUUUUUGGUUUUAAUAUGAUAGGAAAAUAGACCCCGGGGUCGUAGUUUUCACUAGAGGCUUCUCUCAAGAAAAUAGCAUAUGGUGGGUAAACAAAUUACUGUUGGGCAAUUGACAGAAAAGCAAAUAAUUAUUACGAUAUCCAAGGCAAUGAUAAUGUAUAUAGGCAUCACGUCCAAGAUUAGUAGACCGACUCCUGCCUGCAUCUACUACUAUUACUCCACACAUCGACUGUUAUUCAGCAUGCAUCUCGUGUAUUAAGUUCAUGGAGAAACGGAGUAAUGCAAUAAGAACGAUGACAUGAUGUAGACAAGAUAAACCCACAUAUGAAUAAACCCCAUCUUGUUACCCUUAAUAGCAAUGAUACAUGCAUGUCAUGUACCCUUUCUGUCACUGAGAUUGAGCACCGCAAGAUCGAACCCAUCACAAAGCACCUCUUCCCAUGGCAAGAUAAAUCAAUCUAGUUGGCCAAACCAAACUAAUAAAUCAGAGAAGAAACACGAAUCUAUAAAGAUCAUGCAUAAAAUAGUUCAAAGAAGACUCAAAUAAUAUCACGAAUAGAUCUGAUCAUCAACUCACAAUUCAUCGGAUCCCAACAAACACACUGCAAAAAAGUAGUUGCAUCAAAUAGAUCUCCAAGAACAUCGAGGUGUAUUGAAGAUCAAAAGGAGAGAAGCCAUCUAGCUACUAGCUACGGACCCGUAGGUUUGUGGUAAACUACUCACGCAUCAUCAGAGGGGCAACAAGUAAGGAUGGCAAUUUUAUCCAUGGACAUGGAUAUCCAUGGAUAUCCGACCCGAAUGGAUAGGGUUUGGAUAUGCUUUUGUGUCCAUGGGUGGCGCCCAAACCCGACCCGAUUGUUCGUGGGUAGGGCAUGGAUAUAAUCUUGUACCCAUGGAUAUAUCCAAAUCUGACCCGAUAGUAUGACUUAAUGGAAAAAAAAUCUGCCAUCCCUGCCCCACGUUCACAUGUCCCACGGCAAUUUUACACAUUUUUUAUCUAAAACAUGCAUAAGAAAUUACACAAUCCCCAUCAUAACUUUUAUAAGUUGAUAAUCAAUCCCCUCUGUAAUAUACUCUAACACUCCUUCCCUUAUUUUAUCUCCUUCUUAAAUGACUCGUCAUUCUCAUAUGUUAGAAAAAUACUAAAUGAUCUUAGGUUGUUACUGGAUGUUGAUUUACCAUAAGUGAAGCCUAGCCUGCCACGAGGUGAAGAAUGGAAGAGUUUAUGUUAAUAUUGUGUUAAGUCUUAAUUUAUAUGUCUCGAGAGGACCCAAUGGAUAUCCAGUGGAUAUGGAUAUCCAUCGGAUUUGGACAUGGACACAAUUUUCCACCCAUGGAUUUUUUCAUGGGCGGGCAAAGACUGUCUUCAUGGAUAUGGAUAGGGAUUUGAUAUUGUUCAACCCGGUCCAAACCCGACCCAUUGCCAUCCUUAGCAACAAGGAUGAUGAAGAACCCCUCUGUGAUCUUUGCCCCCUCCGCCAGAGUGCCGGAAAAGGCCUCUAGAUUGGAUCUUGUGGUUCUGGGACUUGUGCCAGUUGGUAAAGUGUUUCAUAGACUCCCCUAGGGUUUUUGAGAUUUUAGAGUAUUUAUAGAGGCAGAGGUAGGUAAAGAAGCUUUUCGUGGAUUCCACUACCCACCAGGGCGUGCCUGGGGCCUCUGGUGCGCCCUGGUGCCUAGUGGGCCCCAUGGGCCUCCUCUUGUGUGCUCCUUCGGCUCCCUGGGUAUCUUCUGGGCCGAAACAAAUCUCCAAAAAGUUUCACGGUAUUCGUUUGGUAUUGAUAUUCUGCAAAGUAAAAAACAAGCAAAAAAACAGCAACUCGCACCGGGCACUAUGUCGAUAGGUUAGUCCCAAAAAAUGAUAUAAAGUUGCUAGUAAAUGUAUAUAAAACAUCCAACAUUGAUAAUGUAAUAGCAUGGGACGAUAAAAUAUUAUAUAUACGUUGGAUACGUAUCAGCAUCCCCAAGCUUAAUUCCUGCUCGUCCUCGAGUAGGUAAAUGAUAAAAACAAAAUUUUUGGUGUGGAAUGCUUCGUAAUAUAUUCAUCAUAUAUUCUUUUCUUUUGUAGCAUGGACAUUUGGACUUCAAGUGAUUCAAAGCAAUAGUCUAUAAUUUGACAUGAAGACAUCAAUACUCAAGCAUAUCAACAAGCAACCAUGUCUUGUAGAAUAUCAAUGCUAAAGAAAUCUAUCCCUAACCCAUCAUGCUCAAUCAUGGAUCCAUCCAUGAAACACACUCAAAUAUUAGCUACAUCCAAUGCAAAAGUAUGACAAUAGUGUUCCCUAGUUGGUGCUUUACAAGAGAAGAUGGAGACUCAAUAAAAGAUAAAAAUUACAUAUAAGUAAAUUGAUAGGCCCUUUGCAGAGGGAAGCAGAGAUUUUUAGAGGUGCCAUAGCUCAAGGUUUAAAUUUAGAGAUAAAAAUUGUUUUGAGAGUCAUGCUUUUCCUGUCCACUAAAAUGGCCAAGAAUUCUCAAUAUCUUCCAUGCUAGGUAAAUCAUAGGCGGUACCCAAACAUAAAAUAAAUUUAUUCCUUUUUCCACCAUUCUUUCACAAUCCAUGGUUAGCUGUAUCCACGGGUGCCUUCCAUACCAACACUUUCCAAGAAAUUUAUUAUUGACAACAUAAAGUUUUUUUCAUUUUAGGACUGGGCAUCCCUAUUACCGGCCACACUCUCAUGCAAUGACAAGUGAAUAAACACUCAUCUUGAGAAUAACCUACCUAGCAUGGAAAAUAUUGCCCCCUGCCGCUUCAUGAGCGGUACGGGCACACAAAAAGGAAAUUAAUUUUGAAAAUUAGAGUUGGCACAUACAAAUUUACUUGGAAUGGCCUGGAAAUACCGCAUAUAUGUAGAUAUGGUGGAGUCAUUGGGCACAACUUGGGUUUAGAGAUUAGGAUGCACAAGUAGUAUUCCCGCUUAGUACAAGGAAAGGCUAGCAAAUAAAUUGACAAGCAAUCAACCAUGAAAUGAAAAUGAUCAUAAAUGAGCAUUAAACAUAACUAACACCGAAUAAUGCAACACAAACAGGAUGUAAUUUCAUUGCAUAACUAUUGACUUUCGUGCUUGCAUAAGGAAUCAAAAAGCUUAACACCAAUAUUCUUAUUAAAGCAUAAUUACUCACCAACAUGACUCACAUAUUACUAUCUCCAUAUCGCAAAACUAUUGCAAGGAAUCAAGUUUUAAUAUCCAAUGAUCUUCAUGAAAGUUUUUAUUAUAUCCCUCUUGAUUUAUCACUUUGGGACCAAAUUCAUAUUUUAAGCAAAUUGCCAUUGCUAAUAACAAUCUCUCAAACAAAUUUAAGUGAAGACACUACAAAAAAAACAC
RNAcentral lists this long non-coding RNA (30888 nucleotides) under Triticum aestivum (bread wheat). RNAcentral's name for it is "long non-coding RNA (TAES_LNC021218)". Lineage: Eukaryota; Viridiplantae; Streptophyta; Magnoliopsida; Poales; Poaceae. The record is from RNAcentral.